Molecule: unclassified non-coding RNA, 257 nt
Filed under: Basidiomycota sp.
Lineage: Eukaryota; Fungi; Basidiomycota
Description: partial contains small subunit ribosomal RNA, internal transcribed spacer 1, and 5.8S ribosomal RNA
Rfam family: Eukaryotic small subunit ribosomal RNA (bases 1-47)
Source: RNAcentral
AAAGUCGUAACAAGGUUUUCGUAGGUGAACCUGCGGAAGGAUCAUUAGUGAAACAUAAGAGUGCUCUUUAUUGAGGCUCGUUUAACUAUCCAAUACACUUGUGCAUUUGAAAACACUUAACCUUCAUAACCAUUUGGGCUUCGGUCCUUUGGAUUUGAUUGUUAACACACAUAACCCCAUUGCUUUAAUAAGAGAUGAUGAUGUUUUAAACCAUGAAAUUGAAAGAACAACUUUCAGCAACGGAUUUCUUGGCUCUC